CCUAGUGACGCUAGCGGCAGGCCUAAUACAUGCAAGUCGGACGGGAUUGGAGAGCUUGCUUUUCAUGAGAGUGGCGCACGGGUGCGUAACACGUAUGUAACCUACCUUCACCAGGGGGAUAGCCUCUCGAAAGAGAGAUUAAGACCGCAUAACAUUAUAGGAUAGCAUUAUUUUAUAAUCAAAUAUUUAUAGGGUGAAGAUGGGCAUGCGGAACAUUAGCUAGUUGGUAAGGUAACGGCUUACCAAGGCUACGAUGUUUAGGGGAUCUGAGAGGAUGACCCCCCACACUGGUACUGAGACACGGACCAGACUCCUACGGGAGGCAGCAGUAAGGAAUAUUGGUCAAUGGGCGGAAGCCUGAACCAGCCAUGCCGCGUGCAGGAAGACGGCCCUACGGGUUGUAAACUGCUUUUAUACGGGAAUAAACCUAUCUACGUGUAGAUAGCUGAAUGUACUGUAAGAAUAAGGAUCGGCUAACUCCGUGCCAGCAGCCGCGGUAAUACGGAGGAUCCAAGCGUUAUCCGGAUUUAUUGGGUUUAAAGGGUGCGUAGGUGGCCUGUUAAGUCAGGGGUGAAAGACGGUAGCUCAACUAUCGCAGUGCCUUUGAUACUGACGGGCUUGAAUGAACUAGAGGUAGGCGGAAUGUGACAAGUAGCGGUGAAAUGCAUAGAUAUGUCACAGAACACCAAUUGCGAAGGCAGCUUACUAUGGUUUUAUUGACACUGAGGCACGAAAGCGUGGGGAUCAAACAGGAUUAGAUACCCUGGUAGUCCACGCCCUAAACGAUGAAUACUCGAUGUUGGCGAUAUACGGUCAGCGUCUAAGCGAAAGCGUUAAGUAUCCACCUG
This 848-nucleotide ribosomal RNA is filed under the name Mucilaginibacter sp. RNAcentral describes it as "bacterial SSU rRNA". It matches the Rfam family "Bacterial small subunit ribosomal RNA", at positions 23 to 875 of the family's 1533-position model. Lineage: Bacteria; Pseudomonadati; Bacteroidota; Sphingobacteriia; Sphingobacteriales; Sphingobacteriaceae. The record is from RNAcentral.